This 692-nucleotide ribosomal RNA is filed under the name uncultured Weissella sp. Its description in RNAcentral is "bacterial SSU rRNA". It matches the Rfam family "Bacterial small subunit ribosomal RNA", at positions 28 to 674 of the family's 1533-position model. Lineage: Bacteria; Bacillati; Bacillota; Bacilli; Lactobacillales; Lactobacillaceae. The record is from RNAcentral.
GAUGAACGCUGGCGGCGUGCCUAAUACAUGCAAGUCGAACGCUUUGUGGUUCAACUGAUUUGAAGAGCUUGCUCAGAUAUGACGAUGGACAUUGCAAAGAGUGGCGAACGGGUGAGUAACACGUGGGAAACCUACCUCUUAGCAGGGGAUAACAUUUGGAAACAGAUGCUAAUACCGUAUAACAAUGACAACCGCAUGGUUGUUAUUUAAAAGAUGGUUCUGCUAUCACUAAGAGAUGGUCCCGCGGUGCAUUAGCUAGUUGGUAAGGUAAUGGCUUACCAAGGCGAUGAUGCAUAGCCGAGUUGAGAGACUGAUCGGCCACAAUGGGACUGAGACACGGCCCAUACUCCUACGGGAGGCAGCAGUAGGGAAUCUUCCACAAUGGGCGAAAGCCUGAUGGAGCAACGCCGCGUGUGUGAUGAAGGGUUUCGGCUCGUAAAACACUGUUGUAAGAGAAGAAUGACAUUGAGAGUAACUGUUCAAUGUGUGACGGUAUCUUACCAGAAAGGAACGGCUAAAUACGUGCCAGCAGCCGCGGUAAUACGUAUGUUCCAAGCGUUAUCCGGAUUUAUUGGGCGUAAAGCGAGCGCAGACGGUUAUUUAAGACUGAAGUGAAAGCCCUCAGCUCAACUGAGGAAUUGCUUUGGAAACUGGAUGACUUGAGUGCAGUAGAGGAAAGUGGAACUCCAUGU